RNAcentral lists this ribosomal RNA (253 nucleotides) under uncultured bacterium. RNAcentral's name for it is "partial 16S ribosomal RNA". It matches the Rfam family "Bacterial small subunit ribosomal RNA", at positions 524 to 776 of the family's 1533-position model. The record is from RNAcentral.
UACGGGGGGGGCAAGUGUUGUUCGGAAUUACUGGGCGUAAAGGGCUCGUAGGCGGCCAACUAAGUCAGACGUGAAAUCCCUCGGCUUAACCGGGGAACUGCGUCUGAUACUGUAUGGCUUGAGUUUGGGAGAGGGAUGCGGAAUUCCAGGUGUAGCGGUGAAAUGCGUAGAUAUCUGGAGGAACACCGGUGGCGAAGGCGGCAUCCUGGGCCAACACUGACACUGAGGAGCGAAAGCCAGGGGAGCAAACGGG